CCUGGAUUUUUAUUUUGCAAAGAACAGGUACGAGGUUGCAAUGAUGGUCAAACUCUUCUUAUGAAGGAGAUGAGUACAAGCGAUGGUACAAUUGUCUUCUGCAUGAAAUAAAGAACCUACCAAGGAUGAAACCAGCACUCCAUUUGUGUCAGCCAAUCUUACGUUGCAGGUUUGCAAUAUGCGGAGUUGCAUAUGAGAUUGUCUAUGCUAUACAAUCUCAAGAUAAGAAACCUGUUGAUGUGACGAAAGGGAUGAAUUCGAUAUCAGAAAGAGGUG
Long non-coding RNA from Lolium rigidum, 276 nucleotides. RefSeq lists it as uncharacterized. The record is from RefSeq and is a predicted model, not a curated record. The transcript has 3 exons. NCBI's taxonomy places the organism in Eukaryota, Viridiplantae, Streptophyta, Magnoliopsida, Poales, Poaceae.